CUUCGCAGCCCUCCUUGGGCGUUUCCUCCCUAGACUUGGGCCGUUCGGAUUGAACGGCCCUUUUUUCUUGGCCGG
This 75-nucleotide small RNA is filed under the name Hyphomicrobium denitrificans ATCC 51888. Its description in RNAcentral is "Makes More Granules Regulator RNA (mmgR)". It matches the Rfam family "Makes More Granules Regulator RNA (mmgR)". Rfam says of the family: SuhB later renamed mmgR (makes more granules regulator) was a putative non-coding RNA found multiple times in the Agrobacterium tumefaciens genome and related alpha-proteobacteria. Lineage: Bacteria; Pseudomonadati; Pseudomonadota; Alphaproteobacteria; Hyphomicrobiales; Hyphomicrobiaceae. The record is from Rfam by way of RNAcentral.